RNAcentral lists this transfer RNA (58 nucleotides) under Canis lupus familiaris (dog). The record is from Rfam by way of RNAcentral. RNAcentral also lists the same sequence under 1 other name. Lineage: Eukaryota; Metazoa; Chordata; Mammalia; Carnivora; Canidae.
ACCUCGGUGGCUCAGUGGUUGAGCAUCUGACUUUGGCUCAGGUCAUGAUCCCAGGGUU